This 447-nucleotide ribosomal RNA is filed under the name uncultured bacterium. RNAcentral describes it as "partial 16S ribosomal RNA". It matches the Rfam family "Bacterial small subunit ribosomal RNA", at positions 29 to 523 of the family's 1533-position model. The record is from RNAcentral.
AACGAACGCUGGCGGCAGGCUUAACACAUGCAAGUCGAGCGCCCCGCAAGGGGAGCGGCAGACGGGUGAGUAACGCGUGGGGAUCUGCUUAGUGGUACGGAACAACACGGGGAAACUCAUGCUAAUACCGUAUAAGUCCUUCGGGAGAAAGAUUUAUCGCCAUUAGAUGAACCCGCGUCUGAUUAGCUAGUUGGUGAGGUAACGGCUCACCAAGGCGACGAUCAGUAGCUGGUCUGAGAGGAUGAUCAGCCACACUGGGACUGAGACACGGCCCAGACUCCUACGGGAGGCAGCAGUGGGGAAUAUUGGACAAUAGGCGCAAGCCUGAUCCAGCCAUGCCGCGUGAGUGAUGAAGGCCUUAGGGUUGUAAAGCUCUUUCGCUGGGGAAGAUAAUGACGGUACCCAGAGAAGAAGCCCCGGCUAACUUCGUGCCAGCCGCCGCCGUAA